RNA transcript from Scylla paramamosain (green mud crab), 2924 nucleotides. It is a transcript of the gene named histone-binding protein N1/N2-like, with no coding region annotated. The transcript has 12 exons. NCBI's taxonomy places the organism in Eukaryota, Metazoa, Arthropoda, Malacostraca, Decapoda, Portunidae. The record is from RefSeq and is a predicted model, not a curated record.
UUAACCCAGCGGGUGCUGUAAACAGUACGUUGGCGGUUCACACCAGUUCAGAAGUAAGGUAUCUUAAAUUGCACUCGACAAUGUUGUGAAUACUUUAAAAUGCUUGAAGCCAUACUUGAUGCCUUCCAUAACGUGUAAAGUAAGAAGUUAGCCUGUGUUAAAAAGUGGUGAUCCCUGCAGAUUACCAAGGCAUCCAGUCUCCCAGCAAGUGCCAAGAGGCAUUCAUUCAAUGCUCCGCUGACACCAAUUUGCCCAAAGAAUAUUUAUGUGGGAGACUCCUCAGAUUGUGGAGACCCCAGAUUGUGGAGGCUCCUGGGCAGCUGGUCUUUUUGUGGACUCCUAAAUCUGGCACUGAACAAAAUUCUCUCUCUCUCUCUCUCUCUCUCUCUCUCUCUCUCUCUCUCUCUCUCUCCUCUCUCUCUCUCUCUCUCUCUCUCUCUCUCUCUCUCUCUCUCUCUCUCUCUCUCUCUCUCUCUCUCUCUCUGUCUCUCUCUCUCUCUCUCUCUCUCUCUCUCUCUCUCUCUCUCUCUCUCUCUCUCUCUCUCUCUCUCUCUCUCUCUCUCUCUCUCUCUCUCUCUCUCUCUCUCUCUCUCUCUCUCCUCAACUCUCAACCACUGGAUGGUAUAUCAGUUCACACAGCAAGAAGCCAAGGACCCACCGAGGCUGUCACUUGGAAGAGGUCAUUGUUGUUGCAUCCAGCAUCCCAGCCUGACUGCCUAGACAGGUCCCGCAGGUUGCUGAAUGGCAGAGGUGCAGGCUGCUCCACAGCAAGAUGUGAGACCAGUGUGGCAGAGUAUGAUGUGUACACAAUGAGGGACACACUGUAGCCAACCCAGUAGAUUACCCGUGCUGCAGUGCUGAUUGGGUCCUCACCUUGUUGUAGGAGAGCUGACAACAUGUACCAGCCAGCAGCAACUCCCAUGCUAACAGGCUUCUCCCCCGUGGGUAUGUAGCACCUCUGGAGUCGCUCGAUGAAGAAGAGGAUGCUGGCGAGGCCUGUCGUGUUAGCCGGGAUGCGCCGGUACAGAGCUGUGUCCGUUGGGGUUGUGUAGGCAAACAUCUUCUUGGCAAGGUCCUCGUGGGUGGCCGCAAACAGUUUACGGCUGUGGGAUGAGAACUUGUCUUGUGAAUGUGACAUUGGGCAGCGUUCGACCGUUUCUCUAGGGGCAAGCGACACCUCCUGGUGGGGACUUCAAAUCUGCUGUCGCUGCCUUCGAGGAGGCAACAGAGUCCCUGGUGGAGCUGUGUGGGGAGCAGGCGCCCGAGUGUGGUGACGCGUACUGCCGCUGUGGCCGUGCAUUGCUGGAGCUGGCACGCAAGGAGGCAGGGGUGCUGGGGCCAGAUCUGGAUGGUGCCAGUAGUCAGGAGGGAAGCACAGGGGAAGAGGAGGACGAGGAGGAAGAGAGUUAAGAGUCACAAGAGGAGGAGGAAGGUGGAAAGAAAGAGGAAGGAGAGGAGGAGGAGGAGGAGGAGGAAGAUGGAGAAGGAAAGGAGAAAGAUAAGAAGGAAGGAAAUGCCGCAGAAGGAGAAGAGCAAUAAGAAAUUAGAAUUGACAGAGAAACCAGACAAGGGACUGCAUUUGAAGAAGCACAAGAACCAAGAAAUUACAUCAUUCAAUGAAAUGACAACAUAAUCUAAAGUACAGAUACCAAGGGGAAAUUGCUGGGUCAAGUGGCUACACUGACAUCUGAGGUUAGCAGGUUGGAGAGUGAGUGCAGCAGUCUUCAGGUUCAGCUAGACUGUGAGAGGGAUAAGUAUAACAAACUGCUGGGAGAAUCUCUUGCUCAUGAAAAGUUGUCUGAAGAUGUCAUAACUGAACCAAAAGGAGAAACAACAGGAUUGGGAGGAACUGAGCUUUAACAGAAGCUGCAACAACUGCAGGAGGCUCACAGGGUCCUGGAGAGCAGGUUAACUUGCAGCAUGAAGGAGGUGGCUGAGCUGAGUGACAGGAAGUAGCAGCUUGAGCAUGCUGUAGUGCAUGAGGAGACAGAGUCCAUCGGUGACUACAUCACCAUCUACCAGUUGCAGCGAGGAGUGAUGAAGCAACAAGCUCGAGAACGCGAGUUAGACCUUGCCAGCCUCCAUCAUGAAUGAGAGGAAAUGAAGCAAAACCACUCUGCAGGAUUUGAUAUCAAAGCUGGUGCAGGAAAAGGAAGCAGAUCAUGACCUUCAGCAGCUCGAGAAGAUAAGCAGCGUCCUUAAGAGUCCAGUUGCUAUCUUUAGCAGUGUUGGAACCAGUGAGUCUAAGACACCCACCAGCAGUGGAAAGGUGGCUGACGAGCGCCUCAAGCACUCUGAAAAGGUGGAGCAACAACAAGAAACAGAAAAUUGCAUCCAUCAUUCUUUGCCUGAGGAGGGAAUUGAUGCUCUGUUGACCCUUCACACUGAUGUCCCUCAUGAGGAGGCAGAAUAUGAAUCCUACAGAACUUGCCCAUAGAAAGACCAAAACUGUUACUGCUGCCACACUGCCACCACUUCCACUGACACCAAAAGCCCAACUGUGCAGAGAAUCCUGGACCUCCGCAAUGAAAUGGAGUCCACCAGUCACCUGGAGCACUUUAGCCUCCAAAAGUUCCAUCCAUGUCCAUUGUGUUUGGGUAAACUUAUCACUGUAUAAGGGGACAAGUAUCAGUGUAUGGUUACUAUAUACUCAUUUGUACUUAAAGAUGUCAUGUCACAUCAUUCUCUCUCUCUCUCUCUCUCUCUCUCUCUCUCUCUCUCUCUCUCUCUCUCUCUCUCUCUCUCUCUCUCUCUCUCUCUCUCUCUCUCUCUCUCUCUCUCUCUCUCUGUUUGGAAUUAUACUGUAUAUUAGGAAAUAUCAUUAAAGAGUGUGUGUGUAAAAAGUGUUUGCAUUAUUGUGCAUUUGAUGUUGGUUUCAUGAUUUAUAAAGAUUGCUAUUUUUAAUAAAGUUAUUGAAAUUGUUA